RNAcentral lists this ribosomal RNA (429 nucleotides) under Pseudomonadota bacterium. Its description in RNAcentral is "Proteobacteria bacterium partial 16S ribosomal RNA". It matches the Rfam family "Bacterial small subunit ribosomal RNA", at positions 355 to 776 of the family's 1533-position model. Lineage: Bacteria; Pseudomonadati; Pseudomonadota. The record is from RNAcentral.
UGGGGAAUAUUGGACAAUGGGCGAAAGCCUGAUCCAGCCAUGCCGCGUGUGUGAAGAAGGUCUUCGGAUUGUAAAGCACUUUAAGUUGGGAGGAAGGGCAGUAAGCGAAUACCUUGCUGUUUUGACGUUACCGACAGAAUAAGCACCGGCUAACUCUGUGCCAGCAGCCGCGGUAAUACAGAGGGUGCAAGCGUUAAUCGGAUUUACUGGGCGUAAAGCGUGCGUAGGCGGCUAAUUGAGUCGGAUGUGAAAUCCCCGAGCUUAACUUGGGAAUUGCAUUCGAUACUGGUUAGCUAGAGUGUGGGAGAGGAUGGUAGAAUUCCAGGUGUAGCGGUGAACUGCGUAGAGAUCUGGAGGAAUACCGAUGGCGAAGGCAGCCAUCUGGCCUAACACUGACGCUGAGGUACGAAAGCAUGGGGAGCAAACAGG